RNAcentral lists this unclassified non-coding RNA (403 nucleotides) under soil metagenome. RNAcentral describes it as "partial contains 5.8S ribosomal RNA, internal transcribed spacer 2, and large subunit ribosomal RNA". The stretch from base 1 to 121 matches the Rfam family "5.8S ribosomal RNA", at positions 35 to 154 of the family's 154-position model. The record is from RNAcentral.
GAUGAAGAACGCAGCGAAAUGCGAUACUUGGUGUGAAUUACAGAACCCGUGAACCAUCGAGUUUUUGAACGCAAGUUACGCCCGAAGCCGUUAGGCUGAGGGCACGCCUGCCUGGGUGUAACACAUCGUUGCCCCAAUGCCAAUCGCCUCACUUUGUAGGUAUUUUCUUGGGGUGAAUGUUGGCCUCCCGUGAGCUUUGUCUCACGGUUGGUUGAAGAUCGAGUGCAUGGUGUCAGGUGUACCAUGAUGGAUGGUGGUUGAGUGAUGAUGCUCGAGACCAAUCAUGGGUAACUCCACCAGAAUUGGGCUCGAUGACCCACAUGUGUCCCUUGGAUGCUCCCUAAGGAAACCUCAGGUCAAGCGGGGCUACCCGCUGAGUUUAAGCAUAUCAAUAAGCGGAGGA